AAAUAUUUUUUCCUAUUUAAUACCUUUGAAUUCCAUAUUCUGAGUUGCUAUGGAAUCCAUUCCAUAGGUUUUUCAUGUAUUCAUAGAUAUGGUCUUUUGGACGUUAAUUACCUUUCUUCUUCUUUCUCUUAUCAUCAUCACCACCGCCAACCCUCUCCCCCCAUCUAUCGGCGGCGACCACCAAACUUCUCCCUCAAUCCUCCGACGUUCUCCCCCCUUAUGAUCCACACACCUCAUCACACUUCGCACCCUUUCAACACCAACCGCUGCCUCUCCCUGUCCAUCGAAUCUCCUUCGGAGCCUGUCUCUCCCUAUAUUACAGAUAUGGAGAAUGCGUCGGAACAAUCCAUGGCGACCUAUCACGAUGGUAACAGCGAGGAAACCUCAACGAGUCGGUAACAACGAGGGAACCUAAUACUGACACAGAGAAGCAAAAAGGGCUUUCUCACUUCUCUUCUCAGAUAACAUCAUUUUCUAUUGCCACGAAUCAAAUUGCGAGGUGAUAACUGUCUGAUACUCGCAUGAAAGCAUUGAUUGAAGCUUAGGGUCGGAUACUUUGAUGUGGCAGCGACAACAUGAUGAAGCUGAAGCGAACGAGGAGUGAUAGUUUACUGGAUUUCUUUGAACGCAAAAUCUGAUGGAUCGAAGACGCGGCAGAACGGUGAUUGUUCCAUGUAAAAGCACAACCGUCUUUGUGGGUUACGAAUAUAGUGUUCAUUGAGUUCUCAAAGGAUUUACAUCCCUCCUAAAGCAACAGGGUAUCCUAGAUUUUGAAUCCAUUUUUGGAUUGUUGACAACUUGCUCGCGAUGGUGGGGCAGAGCUCACAGUGGCUGGUGAUUCUGCUAGACUAUGUGCAUCCACAAAUGGGGUCAUCGCUGGAGGCACUGACAUGUGCAGAUAUCAAGAGGAAUCAAAUCGACAGUUCAAAAGCGAAAAAGAAGAGGGUGAGUUAUCUCCAAACGGAGACUUUGAAGAGGAUAAUUUGUGGUUUAUAUUUGUCAAGUGAAGUUUUUUUUUACUAGCCGCAUGGGUAGACGAUCUAGUCUAUAAUAAUAUUGAGUGCUCAUAGCACAUCAUCACUAAAGAGUUAGACAAACCCUUAUUGUAAAACCAGUUCCCUGCUAUUGUGCAAGGUGUAAUUAAAUAUAACUACAUGUAUAAGUGUCGUUACGUGGUUGGAAGUAACAUAUUGUCAAAUCAUAAGUGUCGAGUUACUCAAUUUGGCUCAAAUUAUAUUACCAUUGGUUUGAUAUUACUAA
RNA transcript from Medicago truncatula (barrel medic), 1260 nucleotides. RefSeq lists it as uncharacterized. The record is from RefSeq and is a predicted model, not a curated record. The transcript has 4 exons. Lineage: Eukaryota; Viridiplantae; Streptophyta; Magnoliopsida; Fabales; Fabaceae.